CAAGGCGACGAUCUGUAGCGGGUCUGAGAGGAUGAUCCGCCACACUGGAACUGAGACACGGUCCAGACUCCUACGGGAGGCAGCAGUGGGGAAUUUUGGACAAUGGGGGCAACCCUGAUCCAGCCAUGCCGCGUGAGUGAAGAAGGCCUUCGGGUUGUAAAGCUCUUUCGGCCGGGAAGAAAUCGCAUGGGCCAAUACCCUGUGUGGAUGACGGUACCGGAAUAAGAAGCACCGGCUAACUACGUGCCAGCAGCCGCGGUAAUACGUAGGGUGCGAGCGUUAAUCGGAAUUACUGGGCGUAAAGCGUGCGCAGGCGGUUUUGUAAGACAGGCGUGAAAUCCCCGGGCUUAACCUGGGAACUGCGUUUGUGACUGCAAGGCUAGAGUACGGCAGAGGGGGGUGGAAUUCCACGUGUAGCAGUGAAAUGCGUAGAGAUGUGGAGGAACACCAAUGGCGAAGGCAGCCCCCUGGGUCGAUACUGACGCUCAUGCACGAAAGCGUGGGUAGCAAACAGGAUUAGAUACCCUGGUAGUCCACGCCCUAAACUAUGUCAACUAGGUGUUGGGUGGGUAAAACCAUUUAGUACCGUAGCUAACGCGUGAAGUUGACCGCCUGGGGAGUACGGCCGCAAGGUUAAAACUCAAAGGAAUUGACGGGAACCCGCACAAGCGGUGGAUGAUGUGGAUUAAUUCGAUGCAACGCGAAAAACCUUACCUACCCUUGACAUGCCAGGAACUUGCCAGAGAUGGCUUGGUGCCCGAAAGGGAGCCUGGACACAGGUGCUGCAUGGCUGUCGUCAGCUCGUGUCGUGAGAUGUUGGGUUAAGUCCCGCAACGAGCGCAACCCUUGUCGUUAAUUGCCAUCAUUUAGUUGGGCACUUUAACGAGACUGCCGGUGACAAACCGGAGGAAGGUGGGGAUGACGUCUCCUCAUGGCCCUUAUGGGUAGGGCUUCACACGUCAUACAAUGGUCGGUACAAAGGGUUGCCAAGCCGCGAGGCGGAGCCAAUCCCAGAAAGCCGAUCGUAGUCCGGAUUGCAGGCUGCAACUCGCCUGCAUGAAGUCGGAAUCGCUAGUAAUCGUGGAUCAGCAUGUCACGGUGAAUACGUUCCCGGGUCUUGUACACACCGCCCGUCACACCAUGGGAGCGGGUUCCGCCAGAAGUAGGUAGCCUAACCGCAAGGGGGGCGCUUACCACGGCGGGGUUCGUGACUGGGGUGAAGUCGUAACAAGGUA
This 1235-nucleotide ribosomal RNA is filed under the name metagenome. RNAcentral describes it as "bacterial SSU rRNA". It matches the Rfam family "Bacterial small subunit ribosomal RNA", at positions 269 to 1498 of the family's 1533-position model. The record is from RNAcentral.